Lynx canadensis (Canada lynx) is the source of this 820-nucleotide long non-coding RNA. RefSeq lists it as uncharacterized. The transcript is spliced from 4 exons. The record is from RefSeq and is a predicted model, not a curated record. NCBI's taxonomy places the organism in Eukaryota, Metazoa, Chordata, Mammalia, Carnivora, Felidae.
UCAUGACCGAGGCACCCAGGUGCCCCCUGAAGCACUUUAAAUUAACCAGUGCGGAUGAGGGAGGUGGAUGCAAUUGUGCCCAUAUUACAGAUGAGGACACUAUAGAUCGGCCCUGCAUUUCAGCAGAAUGAAAGAACCACACUAAGGUGCUUGAAAAAUAAGUCAGACGUGGGUGAACCUGGGAGGCAUUAUGCUAAAUCAACUGAGCCAGACAUGAAAGGAGGAGUGCUGUCUGAUUCCACUCGUAUGAGACGAGACAGCUCUGGAGACGGGCGGCCGUGAUGGUCACACAACACUGUGAAUGUGCUCAGUGCUGCUGAACAGCGCACCGAAGAAUGGCUGAAAUGUUUUAAAGGGAGAAGACACGGAGAAGUCUGAAUACAAAUUUGUACGUUUGGUGUUACGUGGAUGUUUGCCCCUCUAAGCCCAAAGCUCCGUAAAGGAGAAGGAUAGUGUGAAAACUUUGUAAGAUGCCCAUCUGAAAUCCAGGUAUGCUCUCUCCGCACCGAUCCUUGGAUCUAUCAACAUGAUCCUGUGCCAUUGAGUCAGGGAGUUGGAAACACAUGCUCCAUUGUUGUAUAACACAGCACAUCACCAAUAGGGAAACAAGGUGACACAAGCACUCACAGUGAGUAUUUAUGAGUACUCACACAAGUACCUGCACGAGUACUCACAAAUGAGUACUCACACAAGGACCCGAAGCAUCCAGGUCAGGGAGAUGGUCAGCGAUAGUACCUGGACUCAAAGCUUGGGCUCCUGACUCCAUGUACGAGGGACUUUACAAAAUGUCCUGUCACUGCAAGAGAGAUCAAGCUGACUC